RNAcentral lists this unclassified non-coding RNA (580 nucleotides) under Hevea brasiliensis (rubber tree). The record is from RNAcentral. Lineage: Eukaryota; Viridiplantae; Streptophyta; Magnoliopsida; Malpighiales; Euphorbiaceae.
GUUGGACUUUGGAACCCAUAUUGACGGACGUAUUGUGGAUUGUGCAUUUACUCUGGCUUUCAAUCCUAUGUUUGAUCCACUACUUGAGGCUUCACGAGAAGCCACUAAUACUGGCAUUAAGGAAGCGGGAAUUGAUGUACGCCUUUGUGAUGUCGGUGCUGCAAUUCAAGAGGUUAUGGAAUCCUAUGAGGUUGAAAUCAACGGGAAGGUAUUCCAAGUUAAGAGCAUCCGAAAUCUGAAUGGGCACAGUAUUGGCCAGUAUCAAAUCCACGCAGGAAAAUCUGUUCCGAUAGUUAAAGGAGGAGAACAAACCAAAAUGGAAGAGGGUGAAUUUUAUGCAAUUGAGACGUUCGGAUCAACAGGGAAGGGAUACGUGAGGGAAGAUCUUGAAUGCAGCCAUUAUAUGAAAAACUUUGAUAUUGGACACAUUCCACUGCGGCUACCCAGAGCCAAGCAACUGCUGGCAACGAUUAAUAAGAACUUCUCCACAUUGGCAUUCUGUAGACGUUAUCUAGACCGCCUUGGCGAGACAAAAUAUCUGAUGGCAUUGAAGAACUUAUGUGAUGCUGGAAUUGUUCAG